UACGUAGGUGGCAAGCGUUGUCCGGAGUUAUUGGGCGUAAAGCGCGCGCAGGCGGUGCGGUAAGUCUCUGGUGAAAGCACUCGGCUUAACUGGGCGAGGGCCGGGGAGACUGCCACGCUGGAGGGGAGCAGAGGCGAGUGGAAUUCCGGGUGUAGUGGUGAAAUGCGUAGAGAUCCGGAGGAACACCAAAGGCGAAGGCAGUGUCCUGGGGAGUACCUGACGCUCAGGUGCGAAAGCCAGGGGAGCGAACGGG
Molecule: ribosomal RNA, 253 nt
Filed under: uncultured bacterium
Lineage: Bacteria
Description: partial 16S ribosomal RNA
Rfam family: Bacterial small subunit ribosomal RNA
Source: RNAcentral